This 220-nucleotide long non-coding RNA is filed under the name Trifolium pratense (red clover). RNAcentral's name for it is "long non-coding RNA (TPRA_LNC012763)". The record is from RNAcentral. Lineage: Eukaryota; Viridiplantae; Streptophyta; Magnoliopsida; Fabales; Fabaceae.
AAAAAAAAAAACCUAUGCCCCUCUACAAAUAUGUGAAUAUGGUUUUUUUUUGUUUUGUUUUGUUUUUAUAAUCUAUGAAUAAUCUAUGAAAUAUGCGGAUUGAUUAUAUAUGUUUCUAACUGCACUACAUCCGUACAUUUGGUUGGAUGUAAUGUUAAGAAGUUCCACAUCGGAUGUGAGUUGACCUAGACAAUCGUUUAUAAGUAAGAAAUAAUUUUCA